Molecule: long non-coding RNA, 1092 nt
Organism: Leptinotarsa decemlineata (Colorado potato beetle)
Lineage: Eukaryota; Metazoa; Arthropoda; Insecta; Coleoptera; Chrysomelidae
Source: RefSeq, a predicted model, not a curated record
AUUUGUAGCUUGCGAAAGAGAGACAGGCUGAGGUAGAGAAACUAAGGGAAAAAGAGCAGGAGAAAACUAAAAAAAUCAAUUCUACCAGAGAGUUGAAAGUAUUCAAAAGUGGUGUUGCCAAAUAUGUAGAUCCUAAUGCAACUAAGAGGCUCGAAAAAGAUGAUACCGAUGUGGAGUCAGUUACACAGAGGAAAAAAUCAUUUAAUUCUUUCAACAAUUUUAAUGGCUGGUGAAGAAUGAAGACAUUGGUAAAGGUAUUACAUGUGUUUAUAUAUAACCCUAGGAUAUAGAAAAAUGUAUAUAAGAUAAUAAAAUAUGAAAUUUGAAAAUCCUUUUUUCUUGUAUAAAAUAGUGUAUUAUAUAUUAAGGCAAUGUACUUGUAUUGACUUCAAUUUCAAUUCCCAACAUAAAGAAGAAAUGUGGUUUUAUGUUUCAGGCCAAACAAUUCAGAAAGAUCAGAAAUAAUUCUUAACAUUCGAAACAUACCCUUCACCAAAUCUGAAUUGAUUUUUAUAUGUUUAGGAUCAAAUAAAUAGAGAAUUGUUGAGAGAUCAAACAUCUAUACCAAAUUCAACCAAUAUUAGUCAGUGUAUCUAUAGAAAUUUGUUUAUAAGUUGGAAUUGAAAAUACCUAGCUUGUUCAAAACAGAGUAGUUUGGUUUUUCAAGUUCCAUGUGAUGCACUACAUAAUUGAAUUGAUAAUAAUAUAAUAGAUAUACCAGGUGGCAAAAAUUGUAUUUACACUAUUGCUAUCUUGGUAAUGUUUUGGAUGUUUUCCGGGUUUUGCAGUGGUCUUCUUUGGUUUCAAUCUCCAAACCCGGAUACCAUCCAAAACAUUGAUGCCAACUGUGAAAGCCUUUCCUAUGUCUCGAUAAUAUUGGAAGAUAUGAUGUUGGUUAAAUUAAACAAAGAAUGUACUUUUUAGAAUGAAAUGAAAUUAUUUUGAAAAAUCUAGACUAUUGUGAGACGUUCUCGAAAUUAUCGAAAAAAAAAAGAAAUUGUUAAUUUAAAUUUUUCUGCUUUGCAAUCUCUAUUAUAUAGAAUAUGUAAAAAUGUAUGAAGUUUUAUGAUUAAAAUUGAAUGAAAGCUGCAA